UAAAAUCACACUCAGCCACACGCUCACACACGUCUGACAGUGACAAGACAAGGGAUUUUUCUUGUUUUGACGUAUUUUCUAACCUCUUAGAAUGUUAUUAGAAGUCGUAAUAAAAUAAUUUGAAUAUAAAGCUAUGUUUUAAAGUAAAUAAAGACCAUAUUAACGAUGUUAACAUGAUGAGACAUCGAUUCUAUGGAAUGGAGGAGAAGAUUUAACAGCUAGAAAUUAACAAAAAUCCUGCAAGAGCAUCGAGAUCUCGCUUUUGGCGAGUGGAAGUCCAAAGGCAAAGUGCAGCGGUUUGCAGUUUAGCCUCACUUUUUUGGACCUAACAAGACAGGAAAAGAAUAGUCAAAGAGGAAACCCGAGUAGCCAGAUGAUAAUAUAUGAAACCAUGAGCAGCCAGCCAUUGAAACUCUCAGCAAUUUGAAUAACAAUUUU
Long non-coding RNA from Ostrinia nubilalis (European corn borer), 438 nucleotides. RefSeq lists it as uncharacterized. The transcript is spliced from 3 exons. The record is from RefSeq and is a predicted model, not a curated record. Lineage: Eukaryota; Metazoa; Arthropoda; Insecta; Lepidoptera; Crambidae.